GACGAACGCUGGCGGCGUGCUUAACACAUGCAAGUCGAGCGGUAAGGCCCUUUCGGGGGUACACGAGCGGCGAACGGGUGAGUAACACGUGGGUGACCUGCCCUUAGCUCUGGGAUAAGCCUGGGAAACUGGGUCUAAUACCGGAUAUGACUCCAUGACGCAUGUUGUGGGGUGGAAAGCCUUGUGCGGCUAGGGGAUGGGCCCGCGGCCUAUCAGCUUGUUGGUGGGGUGAUGGCCACCAAGGCGACGACGGGUAGCCGGCCUGAGAGGGCGACCGGCCACACUGGGACUGAGACACGGCCCAGACUCCUACGGGAGGCAGCAGUGGGGAAUCUUGCGCAAUGGGCGAAAGCCUGACGCAGCGACGCCGCGUGGGGAUGACGGCCUCGG
This 390-nucleotide ribosomal RNA is filed under the name uncultured bacterium. RNAcentral describes it as "bacterial SSU rRNA". It matches the Rfam family "Bacterial small subunit ribosomal RNA", at positions 28 to 420 of the family's 1533-position model. The record is from RNAcentral.